CCCCUCUCAGGGUCGCACCUGGAGAAUUUCCAGUCCUCUACCAGCCUCGAUUUCGGGAGGGAGAGUCAAGCAGAGGCCUGUCCAUUCCAUUCCUAGCUUGGCCAGUGGCUAGUGAGUGGCAGGCAAUCUGCUGUAAAU
This 138-nucleotide small nucleolar RNA is filed under the name Ornithorhynchus anatinus (platypus). The record is from RNAcentral. Lineage: Eukaryota; Metazoa; Chordata; Mammalia; Monotremata; Ornithorhynchidae.